Molecule: long non-coding RNA, 623 nt
Organism: Echinops telfairi (small Madagascar hedgehog)
Lineage: Eukaryota; Metazoa; Chordata; Mammalia; Afrosoricida; Tenrecidae
Exons: 3
Source: RefSeq, a predicted model, not a curated record
CAAACCCUCCUGGAAAGGGCAAGGAAGAAGGGAAGUAGGUUUCUUCCAGAGGCUUUUCUCAAGAAACAUUUCCUCUUCUCAGUAAUAUAAUGGCAAGUUACGGUAUAGUUCCUGGUCCCAGGAGGAAGUUGUCCACGAACCACAUUCCUUACAGCUGAAUGGCAAGUUCUUCCUGGAAGGUUAUCUAGAAGACAGUUCCAUGACCGCCAUGGGCACACCACCAUGCUGCCAUAAUGCCUGCCAAUCUUGGAUUCAUUCACCUCUGCAACCAGAAGCAUGCUGUUUGACCUGUUGAUCUUGAGUUUAUCAGCCCCUACAGCUACAUGAGUCAAGAUUCCACAAAACACAACUCACAAAGACAAUGUUCUACAUCCUACUCUGGUGAAAAGUGACUGGUGCCUUAAAAGCCCCUGAGCAGCCAUUUAAGGUGUUACUAUUGGCCUCUCCCUAUCAAGGGAGAGAAGAAAAGGAAAAGUUAAAUAUAUAUCAGCAUAUUGAAACAUUUAGUCCAAUGGACUAAUGAAGAAUGUAAACAUCAGACCCCACUACCCUGAGACCAGAAGAACUAGAUCAGGUCUGGCCGCCACUGCUAACUGCUCUGAAAAGGGUCACCUCAGAGGUUU